This 253-nucleotide ribosomal RNA is filed under the name uncultured bacterium. RNAcentral's name for it is "partial 16S ribosomal RNA". It matches the Rfam family "Bacterial small subunit ribosomal RNA", at positions 524 to 776 of the family's 1533-position model. The record is from RNAcentral.
UACAGAGGGGGCAAGCGUUGUUCGGAAUUACUGGGCGUAAAGGGCGCGUAGGCGGCCGCCUAAGUCAGACGUGAAAUCCCUCGGCUCAACCGGGGAACUGCGUCUGAUACUGGGUGGCUUGAAUCCGGGAGAGGGAUGCGGAAUUCCAGGUGUAGCGGUGAAAUGCGUAGAUAUCAGGAGGAACACCUGCGGUGUAGACGGCUUACUGGACCGUAACUGACGCUGAGGCACGAAAGCGUGGGUAGCAAACAGG